This 73-nucleotide transfer-messenger RNA is filed under the name Escherichia coli. RNAcentral describes it as "partial transfer-messenger RNA". It matches the Rfam family "transfer-messenger RNA", at positions 298 to 374 of the family's 374-position model. From Rfam's summary of the family: Bacterial tmRNA, also known as 10Sa RNA or SsrA, is named for its dual tRNA and mRNA-like properties. Its role is to liberate the mRNA from a stalled ribosome. The record is from RNAcentral. Lineage: Bacteria; Pseudomonadati; Pseudomonadota; Gammaproteobacteria; Enterobacterales; Enterobacteriaceae.
AAGACUGACUAAGCAUGUAGUACCGAGGAUGUAGGAAUUUCGGACGCGGGUUCAACUCCCGCCAGCUCCACCA